RNAcentral lists this ribosomal RNA (444 nucleotides) under uncultured bacterium. RNAcentral's name for it is "bacterial SSU rRNA". It matches the Rfam family "Bacterial small subunit ribosomal RNA", at positions 954 to 1402 of the family's 1533-position model. The record is from RNAcentral.
GAUUAACGCGAAGAACCUUACCUACCCUUGACAUGGUCGGAAUCCUGCUGAGAGGUGGGAGUGCUCGAAAGAGAACCGGCGCACAGGUGCUGCAUGGCUGUCGUCAGCUCGUGUCGUGUGAUGUUGGGUUAAGUCCCGCAACGAGCGCAACCCUUGUCCUUAGUUGCUACGCAAGAGCACUCUAAGGAGACUGCCGGUGACAAACCGAAGGAAGGUGGGGAUGACGUCAAGUCCUCAUGGCCCUUAUGGGUAGGGCUUCACACGUCAUACAAUGGUCGGAACAGGGGGUUGCCAACCCGCGAGGGGGAGCUAAUCCCAGAAAACCGAUCGUAGUCCGGAUUGCACUCUGCAACUCGAGUGCAUGAAGCUGGAAUCGCUAGUAAUCGCGGAUCAGCAUGCCGCGGUGAAUACGUUCCCGGGCCUUGUACACACCGAAUCACUAGU